This 530-nucleotide ribosomal RNA is filed under the name uncultured archaeon. Its description in RNAcentral is "bacterial SSU rRNA". It matches the Rfam family "Bacterial small subunit ribosomal RNA", at positions 509 to 1050 of the family's 1533-position model. The record is from RNAcentral.
CAGCCGCCGCGGUAAUACAUAGGGGGCGAGCGUUAUCCGGAAUUAUUGGGCGUAAAGGGUGAGUAGGCGGAUGUGAAAGUCUUUGGUGUAAGUGCAGUGCUUAACGCUGUGAUGCUAAAGAAACUUCAUGUCUAGAAUCAGAUAGAGGCAAGUGGAAUUCCAUGUGUAGCGGUAAAAUGCGUAAAUAUAUGGAGGAACACCAGUGGCGAAGGCGGCUUGCUGGGUCUGGAUUGACGCUGAGGCACGAAAGCGUGGGGAGCAAACAGGAUUAGAUACCCUGGUAGUCCACGCCGUAAACGAUGAGUACUAAGUGUUGGAGAAAUUCAGUGCUGUAGUUAACGCAAUAAGUACUCCGCCUGAGUAGUACGUACGCAAGUAUGAAACUCAAAGGAAUUGACGGGACCCCGCACAAGCGGUGGAUCAUGUUGUUUAAUUCGAAGAUACGCGAAGAACCUUACCAGGUCUUGACAUCCCUCGCAAAGCUAUAGAGAUAUAGUGGAGGUUAUCGGGGUGACAGGUGGUGCAUGGCC